CCUACGGGAGGCAGCAGUGAGGAAUAUUGGUCAAUGGGCGCGAGCCUGAACCAGCCAAGUCGCGUGAAGGAUGAAUGCCCUACGGGUUGUAAACUUCUUUUAUCAAGGAAUAAAGUGAGGCACGUGUGCCUUUUUGUAUGUACUUUAUGAAUAAGGAUCGGCUAACUCCGUGCCAGCAGCCGCGGUAAUACGGAGGAUCCGAGCGUUAUCCGGAUUUAUUGGGUUUAAAGGGAGCGUAGAUGGGUUGUUAAGUCAGUUGUGAAAGUUUGCGGCUCAACCGUAAAAUUGCAAUUGAUACUGGCAGCCUUGAGUACAGUAGAGGUAGGCGGAAUUCGUGGUGUAGCGGUGAAAUGCUUAGAUAUCACGAAGAACUCCGAUUGCGAAGGCAGCCUACUAAACGGCCACUGACAUUGAUGCUCGAAAGUGUGGGUAGCAAACAGGAUUAGAUACCCUGGUAGUC
Molecule: ribosomal RNA, 460 nt
Filed under: uncultured bacterium
Lineage: Bacteria
Description: partial 16S ribosomal RNA
Rfam family: Bacterial small subunit ribosomal RNA
Source: RNAcentral